AUCCUUUGCACAGAUUCCAAUUCACGACAAAUUAGUUAAAUGAAAAAGAUGCCUUCACCUCAAAAAAAAAAAAAAAUAAUAAUAAAAAGGUGAAGGCAUUAUAUUUUUAUUUGUUUAGUUGUAAAAGAAUCACAUAAUGCUAAACUAUGUGUAGUGUAAACCAGUGAGAGACCACAGACGGUCAUUACCUGUACUGAAUUAAAAGAAAGUUAAUAAAAAAAUUGUUCAGUAUAAAGUAUUAUUCCAAUUAUAAUUCUAGUAGUAUUUUAAUCUGUGACAGAAACAUUUAUCAUAUAGCCAUGUGCACUUAGACCAUAUCAUUCUAGCCUUGAAUCCUCAGAAGGACUUGACUAGGAAGGAUUUGUCCUCACUAGGAUGUGUAUUUCAUUUGAGAAGCACUUAGUGAAUUUGAAGACCUUGAUUACUUUGGUUCAGGACAGGUGUGUUUAAUUAGGGUUGAAGCUAAACUCUGCAGGACAGUGGCCCUUCAGAAACAGGUUUGGACAUCUCUGAUAAAACAUAUUUUUCUCUCUCUUAGUGCUGAUAUGAUGAUGUGGCAUUUGUUCUGUUUAUAUCUUUAUGUAUGUGUAGUGGACACACUAGAUCGUUAUGAUGAUGUCAUCAUUAUUGGACAGAACUUUCAAGGUGUAACAAAGGGAGAUCAGGAGGAGUAUGAUGAUGUGAAGAACAGCAAUGAAGAUGAGAGAAACCUGUUAGACUAUGAUGAUGUGGGGGAGGAGUCAAAUAAAGAAGGAGGGGCCAUAUGACUCAAUGGCCACACCCUCUACCUCUGUUUAUGAAAUCAUAUUACAGUUACUGGAGCUGCUGGGAGCUUCUCAUAUUGCUACUAAUGCAUCAGUGCCUUAUGUUUUUGUUUUUUUAAAUAUCUUUGUAUGAAAAGUAAGAUGCUUUGCAAAAUUCAGUAUCAAAAAUGUUUAAUAUUGUAUUUUAGCAUUUGGUCUUUUAUUAACAUUUUGAUAUCAAUGCUUUUCACCUAAUAAACAAAAGAUAUCAUUCCAACAUCAUGUCACAAAAAUACUUUUAAAAGAGCGGUUAGAGAAAAGAAGAAAUUAAUGCUAAAAAAUGUUUAAGAAAAUAUUUGUAGGCACUACUGUACUUUUAGGCUACUGACAGCAUUAUUUACCUAAAUAUAAAUGAUAAAUGAUAGAGGAGCACCAUGGGGGCAAGCGAGUGCUACCUGAACACAAGUCGCGGUCUGAUCAGCCGCGGCUGGGUCACCUGGGCGAGGGUGUCUGAUGUUGAAAGACCCGAAACACAGGCUCCAACCACCUACUCCAUGAACUACAGGUCGGCGAAGAUCCACAAAAUCCGGCAGGAGUUGAAGUCCCUUAAGAAGCCAGUGAGGAGCAACGCUG
This 1376-nucleotide long non-coding RNA is filed under the name Carassius auratus (goldfish). Its description in RNAcentral is "lncRNA (ENSCARG00000065081.1)". Lineage: Eukaryota; Metazoa; Chordata; Actinopteri; Cypriniformes; Cyprinidae. The record is from RNAcentral.